RNAcentral lists this ribosomal RNA (477 nucleotides) under uncultured bacterium. RNAcentral describes it as "partial 16S ribosomal RNA". It matches the Rfam family "Bacterial small subunit ribosomal RNA", at positions 28 to 507 of the family's 1533-position model. The record is from RNAcentral.
GAUUAACGCUGGCGGCGUGCAUAACACAUGCAAGUCGAACGAUGAAACUUAAAUGAUUUCUUCGGAAUGAACUUAAGUGGAUUAGUGGCGGACGGGUGAGUAACGCGUGAGUAACCUGCCUUACACAAGGGGAUAGCCGUUGGAAACGACGAAUAAUACCCUAUGAAACUAUCACUUCGCAUGAAGCGAUAGUCAAAGUGUUAGCGGUGUAAGAUGGACUUGCGUCUGAUUAGCUAGUUGGUGAGAAAAAAGCCCACCAAGGCAACGAUCAGUAGCCGGCUUGAGAGAGUGUUCCGCAACAUUGGGAGUGAGACAAGGCGCAGACUCCUACGGGAGGCAGCAGGGGUGAAUGUUGCACAAUGGGGGAAACCCGGAUGCAGCGAGGCCGCGUGAUUUAGAAGGCCUUCGGGUUGUAAAAAUCUUUUGUAUAGGAAGAAAAUGACAGUACUAUACGAAUAAGGUCCGGCUAAUUACGUG